Pelobates cultripes (western spadefoot toad) is the source of this 5587-nucleotide non-coding RNA. The record is from the annotation of a GenBank genome assembly. Lineage: Eukaryota; Metazoa; Chordata; Amphibia; Anura; Pelobatidae.
AGGUGAACACGUUUCAAGCUGUUCUCAUCACAGGUGGCACAGAUUCUUUUCUUUUCUAUAACUACGCUGACCUCCAAUGGCCGACAACCAACAUGGAAGAAAUAGCACUGGUUAGUAUGAAGAUAUUCACAGAGACACUAACUGAUUGUGAAAUUAAAAUGUCACCUCUUGGAGAAGUUGAAAUAUAAUUCCCUAUUAAUUGGAGAAAAUCAUUGCGGAUAUAUCUAAAAACAUCUUGCAAAAUCUGAUCUCUUGUCUGCAGGCAUUGCAAGCCCUCCCCUUCAAACCCCGCCCACACUUUCUGUGGCUGUCCAAUCACAGACUUCCCAUUGCAGCUCAAUGAGAAGUCUUUGCAAGGCAGGUGCUCUGGACAGUUGCUGCCUCUUGAGUUUAUUUUCACUGAGCUAACCAACCAGGAAGUAGCAGGACCGGUUGUUUGACAGCCAGGGGGGUGUAACUAGGUUAAUUUACAAAAGUACAAAUUUCUAUUAAAAUCUGCAAAAAAGAGAAGACAUUCUUCACACAAAAUCUUUCAGCAAGUUAAAGUACUUUCGAAGUCUGGUGUGUCCCUUUAAAAUCAUCUAUCUAUCUAUCUAUCUAUCUUUCAUCUAUCUACGUAUCUCUAUCUAUCUAUCAAACCAUCUGUCUGUCUGUCUGUUUAUCUAUCUCUUUCUAUCUAUACACUAUCUAUCUAUCUAUCUAUCUAUCUGUCUAUCUAUCUAUUUGUCUCUCUCUCUAUCUAUCUAUCUAUCUAUCUGUUUAUCUAUAUCUAUCUAAAUAUCUAUCUAUCGAUCUAUCUUACUAUCUAUCUAUCUGUCUGUCUAUCUAUAUAUUGAUCUAUCUUACUAUCUAUCAGUCUGUCUGUCUGUCUAUCUAUCUAUCUUACUAUCGAUCUGUCUUACUAUCUAUCUAUCUAUCUAUCUAUCUAACUAUCUUAUUAUUAUUAUUGCCAUUUAUAUAGCGCCAACAGAUUCCGUAGCGCUUUGCAAUAUUAUCAGGGGGGAUUUAACUAUAAAUAGGACAAUUACAAAAAACUUACAGGAACGAUAGGUUGGAGAGAACCCUGCUCAAACGAGCUUACGUUCUAUAGGAGGUGGGGUGUAAAACACAAUAGGAUAGGAAUCAAAUAAGGUGGUUGCCUUUUAGGAGAGAGCAAGAGACAGGUAUGUGAGGUAGAGGUUAGUCUGGGAGGCCAUAAGCUUUCCUAAAGAGAUGGGUUUUAAGGCACUUCUUAAAAGAUGCAAGACUAAGGGAGGGUCUGAUGGCGGUAGGCAGGCUAUUCCAUAGGAAGGAAGUUGCCUGCGAGAAGUCCUGCAAGAGUGAGUUGGCCGUACAUGUGCGAACAACGGACAGGAGGUGGUCACGGGCAGAGCGCAGAGACCGAGAAGGGACAUACCUAUGGAUCUGUGAGGAGAUAUAAGAGGGGCUAGAGUUGUUCAGUGCUUUAUAGGUGUGAAUUAGUACCUUGAAUUGACUCCUAUAGCAUACAGGAAGCCAAUGUAAGGCCUGACAGAAGGGUGAGGUGUGAGAGAAACGACUAGAGAGGAAAAUCAGUCUAGCAGCAGCGUUCAUUAUGGACUGUAGCGGUGCAGUACGGCUUUUGGGAAGACCAAUCAGGAGAGGGUUACAAUAAUGAGGUGACGCCAGAAUCAAAUAUGACGCCAAGAAAGCGCACUUGUAAGGAUGGACUGAUGUGGGUACCACAAACUUGAAGGGAGAGCGAAGGAGGAGGAUCAGUAUUAGAAGGAGGAAAGACAAGGAGCUCAGUUUUAGAGAGAUUGAGUUUCAGAAAGCGGGAGGACAUCCAGUCAGAGAUGGAAGAAAGGCAAGCAGUGACACGUUGCAGGACAGCAGGGAAGAGGUCCGGGGAGGAGAGAUAUAACUGGGUGUCAUCAGCGUACAGGUGGUAGUGGAAUCCAAAAGAAGUAAUACGUUUGCCAAGAGAGGCAGUAUAAGGAGAAAAUAGAAGGGGACCAAGUACAGAGCCUUGGGGGACUCCAACCGAGACAGGACGAGGGGAGGAGGUGUCAUUAGAAAAGGAGAAACUGAAUGAGCGUUGGGAGAGAUAAGAGGAAAACCAUGAGAGGACAGAGUCACAGAGACUGAGCAAUUGAAGAGUUUGAAGAAGGAUAACAUGAUAAACGGUGUCAAAGGCAGCAGAAUGGUCAAGAAGAAUUCGCAUGGAGUAGUGGCCUUUGGAUAUAGCUGCGAUUAGGUCGUUAGUAACUUUGAUAAGUGCAGUCUCUGUAGAGUCUAUCUAUCUAUCUAUCUAUCUUACUAUUGAUCUUACCAGUGGCGUACAUACCAGGGUCGCAGGGGUCGCGACCGCGACCGGGCCCGGCCCACCAGGGGGCCCGGCCGCCCCUGCGACCCGGUAUUUACGCCCAGGGCCAGCCUCUUCCCCUGGGGGGGGCCCAGGAGCCGACCACCCCAGGGCCCCCCGAGGCUGGCCCUGCUGACCCCGGGUGGCCAGACGGGCGCGCGAGGGAGCACUCAGUGCUUCCUCUUCAGCUCCCUCGCACACCGCACUGAUACCGGAGCCGGAAGAUGACGUCAUCUUGCGGCGCCGGCAUCCCUACGCGGCGCGCGAGGGAGCCGAAGAGGAAGCACUGAGUGCUCCCUCGCGCACCCGCCUGCCUGCCCAGGAGCCCAGCAGCAGCACCACUGGACCCCAGGGAAUCCCCCCAGCACUCCAAAAGGUAAGGAGGCUGGGGGGAUUACAUUAAAAAAAAAAAAAAUCAUGUGUGAGUGUGAGUGUUAGUGUGUGUGAGUGUUAGUGUGUGUGUGUUAGAGUGAGUGUUAGUGUGUGAGUGUUAGAGUGAGUGUUAGUGUGUGUGAGUGUUGGUGUGUGAGUGUUAGUGUGUGCGAGUGUUAGAGUGAGUGUUAGAGUGCGAGUGUUAGAGUGAGUGUUAGUGUGUGUGAGUGUUAGAGUGAGUGUUAGAGUGUGAGUAUUAGAGUGAGUGUUAGUGUGUGUGAGUGUUAGUGAGUGUUAGAGUGAGUGUUAGUGUGUGUGAGUGUUAGAGUGAGUGUCAUUGAGUGUGUUACUGUGUGUGUCUUACUGAGUGUGUGUGUGUUAGUGUGUCUGUUUGAUGUCUGUUAGUGAGUGUGUUUGAUGUCUGUUAGUGAGUGUGUGUUUGUCAAUGAGAGUGUAUGUUUUGUGAGUGUGUAUGUAUGUCUGUCGCUGACUGUAUCUCUGUCAGUAAAUGUGUGUGUCUGUUAGCUAGUGUGUAUGCGUCUGUAAGUGUGUGUGUGUGUGUGUCUUCAGCACUUACCUUUCUCCAGCGCCGGACUCCCUUGGCAUUGAGGAUCCCUCAGCCUCUCAGCUCCGAAUGCGACCACGCACGCAUUCAAACCGCCCAUAGGAAAGCAUUACUCAAUGCUUUCCUAUGGACGUUCAGUGUGCUCCUCUAGCGGCUGUCCGUGAGACAGCCACUAGAGGCUGGAUUAACCCUCAGUGAAACAUAGCAGUUUCUCUGAAACUGCUAUGUUUUCAGCUGCAGGGUUAAAACUAGAGGGACCCGACACCCAGACAACUUCAUUGAGCUGAUGUGAUCUGGGUGUCUGUAGUGGUCCUUUAAAGGACCACUAUAGUGCCCCCACCCUCAGGGACUCCCUCCCGCCCGGCUCUGGAAAGGGGUAAAACUUACCUUUUUCCAGCGCUGGGCGGAGAGCUCUCCUCCUCCGAUCCUCCUCUUCUCCUCCCCGUCGGCUGUAUGCGCACGCGCGGCAAGAGCUGUGCGCGCAUUCAGCCGGUCACAUAGGAAAGCAUUCAUAAUGCUUUCCUAUGGACGCUGGCGUGCUCUCACUGUGAAAAUCACAGUGAGAAGCACGCAAGCGCCUCUAGCGGCUGUCAAUGGGACAGCCACUAGAGGAAAUAGGGGAAGGCUUAACCAUUCAUAAACACAGCAGUUUCUCUGAAACUGCUAUGUUUAUGAAAAAAUGGGUUAACCCUAGCUGGACCUGGCACCCAGACCACUUCAUUAAGCUGAAGUGGUCUGGGUGCCUAGAGUGGUCCUUUAAGUGUGUGUGCAUCUGCAUGCACUGGCGUACAUACCGCGGUCGCAGGGGGCGCAGCCCUGUAACCCCUGCGACCAGGUGCCCACCGCCAUGUGUUGCGGCCCGGCCCGCGCGGGGGGGGCCCACGGAUCAAUUUUCGCACCGGGGCCCCAUGGGUCAUGUGUACGCCACUGGAUCUUACUAUCUAUCUAUCUAUCCGUUUAUCACUUUAAAAUGUUAGGGGGAAAAAAACCUCACUUGAUCCUGAAUUUCCUGCUUGGGCUGAAUCUGUCAGACGUGUAAAUGAAUAAUUAAAAUAACUUAGGUGAGCACUCACUGAAUGCUACCACUCAAGUCCUACUCUCAAAGGUCCCCAAUCCUAAAAUACAAUCAAAUAAGUGUGAAUCUAAGCACACAAAACGUAUUUCCACUCCGGAGGGCGCUAGACACCAGGCAAAAAAUUGUUACCAAUCUUGUAGCUUGUUAUUGUAUUAGUACUCGUAAAAAAGGACGAACAAUAAAUGGAAAUAUACAAAUUGAUUCUCACAAAUUUAACUUCAAAAUAGCACAAUAAAAAGUAAAUACAUGUGUUAAUAUAUAAAUGUAAAAUAAAGCACAAUCUAUCUACAAGAGAAAAAGAAACAAAGUCCAAAACGAGCUCCAUAAAAUGAAACCAACCUCUGGUGGGAGCCUCUUUGGUCGCGAUUCCUGCUGGGCUCCUGUACCGAAUGUGGAAAUGUAGAUGCAGACGUUUUGUCCCAGUCAGGACUUCCUCAGGAGAUAACAUCGGGACUCACACCUUAAUGCACGUACCGGGGCAGCAUGUAGACUCGGCCAGAAACAGACCUCUCAGACACUAGAAGCAGUCGUUUUACAGAUUCAUAAAUUACAUUAAAAUAAGUGUGAAUCUAAAAUCUUCCGCAUUCCCCCUAUGGAGGGUUCUAGACACCAGACAUUAAAUAUAUAAAACAAACAAAUUCAGAGUUGAGGUGAUGUACCCCAACCCCAAAAACACAGAGAGCGAGUGCAGCGCUAAAACGUGUGUAGGAUAACACUCACACUUUAAUGUCUGUACCGGGGCAACAUGUAGACAUAGAAAAGGAAAUAGAGGGAAGAAAAACUGAUACUAAUUUGUACUUACCCCAGAGGAUUGCGCUAGUUUUUAUUUGUUUUCUAUUUCCUUUUCUAUGUAUAUAGUCUCAUACACAAUGCAGUAGACAAAAAUAUAAUAAUAAUAGCUCUCUCGGCCGCCAGGUGUGUUAUUUUCUCUGUAUUCCACGUAAAGGGUAGAGUUUUUACAAGUAUCAGAGAUUUCUCAUAGUCUAAAUACAGGAUUAGGAUUAUUUUACCACCUGUGCCUUCCAGUUUGGCUUAUACCAACACUACAUUUAAAAAUGGAGACCUUUUAAUGUGGCAUCUUGCAAUUCACAGGCUGGUCUAAAUAGUGGCAGAACCACAGGCUACUACCAGUUACCUGGGUCACAUACCAUGGACAUACUGAAAUUGGCAAACACGAGUAAUGUUGGUGUUGCCGGUCGUUGGGUCUUCAAAGUGGAUAAACUUCAUCCAGAAGAUCCCAGUGGAAUUAUAG